This 686-nucleotide ribosomal RNA is filed under the name Diaporthe sp. RNAcentral describes it as "partial large subunit ribosomal RNA". It matches the Rfam family "Eukaryotic large subunit ribosomal RNA", at positions 81 to 799 of the family's 3401-position model. Lineage: Eukaryota; Fungi; Ascomycota; Sordariomycetes; Diaporthales; Diaporthaceae. The record is from RNAcentral.
UAGUAACGGCGAGUGAAGCGGCAACAGCUCAAAUUUGAAAUCUGGCCUCGGCCCGAGUUGUAAUUUGCAGAGGAUGCUUCUGGCGCGGUGCCUUCCGAGUUCCCUGGAACGGGACGCCACAGAGGGUGAGAGCCCCGUAUGGUCGGACACCAAGCCUGUGUGAAGCUCCUUCGACGAGUCGAGUAGUUUGGGAAUGCUGCUCUAAAUGGGAGGUAAAUCUCUUCUAAAGCUAAAUACCGGCCAGAGACCGAUAGCGCACAAGUAGAGUGAUCGAAAGAUGAAAAGCACCUUGAAAAGGGGGUUAAAUAGUACGUGAAAUUGUUGAAAGGGAAGCACUUGUGACCAGACUUGGGCCGGGCGGCUCAUCAGGGGUUCUCCCCUGUGCACUCCGCCCGGCACAGGCCAGCAUCGGUUCCCGUGGGGGGAUAAGACCGCCGGGAACGUAGCACCCUCCGGGGUGUGUUAUAGCCCGGCGGACGAUACCCCCGUGGGGACCGAGGUUCGCGCUCCGCAAGGAUGCUGGCGUAAUGGUCACCAGUGACCCGUCUUGAAACACGGACCAAGGAGUCGUCCAUUAGAGCGAGCGUUUGGGUGUAAAACCCGCACGCGUAAUGAAAGUGAACGCAGGUGAGAGCUUCGGCGCAUCAUCGACCGAUCCUGAUGUUCUCGGAAGGAUUUGAGUAAGA